CAUAUCAACUUUCAAUGCCAGUUUCUGCAACUACCAUGGAGACCAAGGGUAACGGGGAAUCAGGGUUCCAUUCCG
Molecule: non-coding RNA, 75 nt
Organism: Pelobates cultripes (western spadefoot toad)
Lineage: Eukaryota; Metazoa; Chordata; Amphibia; Anura; Pelobatidae
Source: the annotation of a GenBank genome assembly